Molecule: ribosomal RNA, 253 nt
Filed under: uncultured bacterium
Lineage: Bacteria
Description: partial 16S ribosomal RNA
Rfam family: Bacterial small subunit ribosomal RNA
Source: RNAcentral
UACGUAGGGUGCAAGCGUUAAUCGGAAUUACUGGGCGUAAAGCGUGCGCAGGCGGUGAUGUAAGACAGUUGUGAAAUCCCCGGGCUCAACCUGGGAAUUGCAUUCGAGACUGCAUUGCUGGAGUACGGAAGAGGAGGGCGGAAUUCCCGGUGUAGCGGUGAAAUGCGUAGAUAUCGGGAGGAACAUCAGUGGCGAAGGCGGCCCUCUGGUCCAGUACUGACACUCAAGUGCGAAAGCGUGGGGAGCAAACAGG